Molecule: long non-coding RNA, 1074 nt
Filed under: Durio zibethinus
Lineage: Eukaryota; Viridiplantae; Streptophyta; Magnoliopsida; Malvales; Malvaceae
Description: long non-coding RNA (DZIB_LNC001781)
Source: RNAcentral
AAAAAAUGAAAUGGAAUGACAAAAUGAAAAAAAAAAAAAUAGUUUAAAAAAGACAAAAAAAAUUGAAAAACAUAUAAGUCCUAACAAUAUAAAAAGUCAGACAAAAAAUUAAAAAAGAGAAAAGUUAAUGCAAAAUAAAAAAAGUAUGAGAAUUUAAAAAUGCAAAUAAGAAAUGAAAGGAAAUGUGUGGAAAAAAAAAGAGAAGCAAGAAAAGACAAAAGAUUUGCAAUAAAAAUAGAAAAAUAAAAAAUUUUAAAACAACGAAAAAAUUAAAACCAGUAAAAAUGAAAGCAUAUGAAAAAAAAGCAAAAAGAAGGAAAAUUGUGAAGGAAAAAAGUUAUUAAAAAAUUACAAAGUUGAAAAAAAAUAAAUUAAGCGAAAAAAUUAAAUAAAAUACCCAGAAAGGAAAAAUAAAAAUAAACAAAGUAAGAAAAUAAAAAAUUAGCGAAGCAAAAAAAUAUAAAAAGACAAAUGAAUAAAAAUUUCAAAUAUAAAAUGGAAAAAACUUUUAGUUUAGAAUGUAGAAAGAAAAACAAAAAAAAAAAAAAACAAAUAGAGGAAAAAGAUAUAAAAUAUGAAAGAUGAAAAAUAAAAUAAAAGAAAGUGCACAAAAAAAGAAGUUUGAGGUUUUAAAAUUAUAAAGAAGAAAUAAAAAAAGGUGCGAACAAAAAGAUUUAAGAAAAAAAUAAAAAAUGAAAAUGCAAAAUAUAUAAAAUAAAAAUUGAGAAAAAGAAGAAAAAAAUAAAAAAUGAAGAGGCAAAAAUAUGAAAAAAAAUAAAAAGAAAAAAAUUUAUAGAAAAUUUUAAAACAAAGAAAAAAGUGAACAAAAAAAAAUGAAAGCACAUAAAAAAAAGUAAAAAAAAGAAGAAAAAUUCGGAAGGAGAAAAAGUUAAUGAAAAAUUAUAAAAAUGCAACAGAAAAUAACCAAGAAUGAUAAAAGAAAAAAAGAUAGAAAAAUAAAAAAUUCCAAAACUUUAUAAAAAUUUAUGAAAUUAUAAAUAAAGAAAGAAAAUAAAACACGAAAAAAAAUUAAAGCAAAAGAAAAAAGAUAAAUAAAGCACAAAAAAAAAAAAA